GAUGAAGAACGCAGCGAAAUGGGAUACGUAAUGUGAAUUGCAGAAUUCAGUGAAUCAUCGAAUCUUUGAACGCAUAUUGCGCUCUUUGGUAUUCCGAAGAGCAUGCUUGUUUGAGUAUCAGUAAACACCUCAACCUCUUCUUGAUUUUUCAAAAGGAGGGUGGACUUGAGCUAUCCCAACAACCUUUACCGGUCGGCGGGCGGCUUGAAAUGCAGGUGCAGCUGGACUUUUAUCUGAGCUAAAAGCAUAUCUAUUUAGUCCUCGUCAAACAGGAUUAUUACUUUUGCUGCAGCUAACAUAAAGGAUAAUUGUCCUCUUUGCUGACUGAUGCAGGAUUUUACGACACUUUAUGUGUUGUUCAACUCGAUCUCAAAUCAAGUAAGACUACCCGCUGAACUUAAGCAUAUCAAUAAGCGGAGGA
Molecule: unclassified non-coding RNA, 421 nt
Filed under: soil metagenome
Description: partial contains 5.8S ribosomal RNA, internal transcribed spacer 2, and large subunit ribosomal RNA
Rfam family: 5.8S ribosomal RNA (bases 1-120)
Source: RNAcentral